RNAcentral lists this ribosomal RNA (501 nucleotides) under uncultured bacterium. Its description in RNAcentral is "partial 16S ribosomal RNA". It matches the Rfam family "Bacterial small subunit ribosomal RNA", at positions 29 to 523 of the family's 1533-position model. The record is from RNAcentral.
AUUGAACGCUGGCGGCAUGCCUUACACAUGCAAGUCGAACGGCAGCACGGGUGCUUGCACCUGGUGGCGAGUGGCGAACGGGUGAGUAAUACAUCGGAACGUACCUUAUCGUGGGGGAUAACGCAGCGAAAGCUGUGCUAAUACCGCAUACGCCCUGAGGGGGAAAGCGGGGGAUCGAAAGACCUCGCGCGAUUAGAGCGGCCGAUGCCUGAUUAGCUUGUUGGUGGGGUAAAAGCCCACCAAGGCGACGAUCAGUAGCUGGUCUGAGAGGACGUACAGCCACACGGGGGCGGAGACACGGCCCAGACUCCUACGGGAGGCAGCAGUGGGGAAUUUUGGACAAUGGGGGCAACCCUGAUCCAGCAAUGCCGCGUGAGUGAAGAAGGCCUUCGGGUUGUAAAGCUCUUUUGUCAGGGAAGAAACACCGGCUCUAACACAGUCCGGGAAUGACGGUACCUGAAGAAUAAGCACCGGCUAACUACGUGCCAGCCGCCGCCGUAA